GACGGACGCUGGCGGCGGGCUUAACACAUGCAAGUCGAACGGAAAGGCCCUGCUUUUGUGGGGUGCUCGAGUGGCUAACGGGUGAGUAACACGUGAGUAACCUGCCCUUGACUUUGGGAUAACUUCAGGAAACUGGGGCUAAUACCGGAUAGGAGCUCCUGCUGCAUGGUGGGGGGUGGAAAGUUUCGGCGGUUGGGGAUGGACUCGCGGCUUAUCAGCUUUUUGGUGGGGUAGUGGCUUACCAAGGCUGUGACGGGUAGCCGGCCUGAGAGGGUGACCGGCCACAUUGGGCCUGCGAUACGGCCCAGACUCCUACGGGAGGCAGCAGUGGGGAAUAUUGCACAAUGGGCGGAAGCCUGAUGCAGAAACGCCGCGUGCGGGAUGACGGCCUUCGGGUUGUAAACCGCUUUCGCCUGUGACGAAGCGUGAGUGACGGUAAUGGGUAAAGAAGCACCGGCUAACUACGUG
RNAcentral lists this ribosomal RNA (468 nucleotides) under uncultured bacterium. RNAcentral's name for it is "partial 16S ribosomal RNA". It matches the Rfam family "Bacterial small subunit ribosomal RNA", at positions 28 to 507 of the family's 1533-position model. The record is from RNAcentral.